ACAGGUUUGGCCUGCCCUUUGCUGGGUGGGUUGAGCGCACGCGGAUCUUUCCCCAUGCUCUCCUUGCGGAGCCUUUGCCGCCGCGCAAGCGGUAGGGCUGAGCGACUUGAAAAACAAAUCAGCCCGUGGGCAAGUCGGCUGCCUUUUUGGUGCCGGCAACACUUUCGAAUUGCGGGGACACCCUAAAGCUCCCAUCCACCAAGCCAGCCGGGAAACAGGCUGGUGGCCUGUGCUAACGACACAGGGUAUGGUAAUAACGGUGGGAGAUGAGCGCGCGCAGCGCGCGAAAUGGGCUACCCGCAGCGAAGCCUCUGUGCCCUUUCUUUUGGGGAGGGCUGGGGAACGUUCACAGACUAAGCGGAAGUGGGUGGGGCACUCUCUGGGUGCCCUGCUUAAGAUAUAGUCGGGCUCCCUGGGAGACCAGCUUAGGAGAGGACAGCCGUUCCGUAGGUGAACCUGCGGAAGGAUCAUUACCACGUCGGCCCCAUUUGGGGUUUGAAAUCAACCCUUGACUAUGAGUACCAAAAUAUACGUCCCUCGGCGGAGUGCACACCUGCCCAUGGGCCCUCUUGAAACAACCUUGUGUGCAGUAUGCUAGUAUCUUCUGAUUUUAUGGGCAAUGAAUAAUAUAUUUACAACUUUCAACAAUGGAUCUCUUGGCUCUGGCAUCGAUGAAGAACGCAGCGAAAUGCGAUAAGUAGUGUGAAUUGCAGAAUCCAGGGAAUCAUCGAAUCUUUGAACGCACAUUGCGCCCCUUGGUAUUCCAUGGGGCAUGCCUGUUCGAGCGUCAUUGACACCCUCAAGCUCUGCUUGGUGUUGGGCGUCUGUCCCCGCGGGGACUCGCCCCCAAAGUUAUUGGCAGCCUUUGCCCGCUUCCCGCGCAGCACUGUCGCGCUUUUGGGGAGGACAUAUGGGCAGACUGGCGUCCAACAAGCUCUUUUUUAUUUAUGUUUGACCUCGAAUCAGGUAGGGAUACCCGCUGAACUUAAGCAUAUCAAUAA
RNAcentral lists this non-coding RNA (1001 nucleotides) under Trematosphaeria sp. 1 NV-2015. RNAcentral's name for it is "sequence contains ITS1, 5.8S rRNA gene and ITS2". The stretch from base 637 to 790 matches the Rfam family "5.8S ribosomal RNA". Lineage: Eukaryota; Fungi; Ascomycota; Dothideomycetes; Pleosporales; Trematosphaeriaceae. The record is from RNAcentral.